Molecule: long non-coding RNA, 906 nt
Filed under: Marmota monax (woodchuck)
Lineage: Eukaryota; Metazoa; Chordata; Mammalia; Rodentia; Sciuridae
Source: RNAcentral
GAAGAAAUCCAAAUAUGAUUUCUCCUUUAUAUUCCCAUGAAUCCUGCCUGUCACCUCCAAACAAGAACCAUUUUCUCCUCCUGUUACACUCAAAGUCCACCAAUAUUUCUCUUACAAAAUUCAUUAUUUUCUACCUCUCAUGUACAUUAGGUCCUUCAUUUGUACAAUUUAUUUUUUUACACAUUUUACCAAGGCUGUACUUGAGUUUACAAGAAGAAAAUUUAGUCAGUCUUUCCUAAUAGUGUUCCUCACUUUCUAGAAGAAUUAAAGAUACCUAUGUGGGUUAAGUAAUGAUUUCUAACUGUGUAUCAGGCACUAUUCUAAGUACUUUACAUUGUUAGAGAGAAAAUAAUCUAAGACUACCAAAUAACAGUCUAAAACAAGACUGAAUUUCUUGCUUACCUUGUAAGGGAGAAUCUGGCACAUACUAAAGAAUCAAUAUAUAUUCACUAUUUUAUUCAUUGUUAUUGUAAUGGUUGUAGUGGUAGUUUUGAUGGUAUAGAUAGAAAAUUAAAGUUCUCCAACAAUACACAUUCAUAUCCUCAGAAAAAAGAGUGAAAUUCCAUUCUAAUUUAUGUGCAUUUGAGAGGACACCCCUGGCACCAAACUCCCAGGCAAAUGCCACCAUCUGUGUGAUUUCCUUCCAUUUGCCAAUGUAGGCACAGCAGGUACUAUUAGGUUAACCUUUUCUUUCACCAGCAUUCUCUCAAACUAGUAAACACUUUGGCUGUUGGAAAGCUCUAAUCCAAAACUGCAAAUUUAAAAAUGUUUCUCUUAUGGAACACAAUAACUGAAAUGUUAAUACAUCAUAUUAUUUCACAUUAUCGGAUUACAAAAUAUGGCUUAUAGACAUUACAAAAUGAAAGAUAAAAUGUUAUUUUGUUAACACUGACCAAUAGGUUUAUA